This 234-nucleotide ribosomal RNA is filed under the name uncultured bacterium. Its description in RNAcentral is "partial 16S ribosomal RNA". It matches the Rfam family "Bacterial small subunit ribosomal RNA", at positions 118 to 350 of the family's 1533-position model. The record is from RNAcentral.
UGGGCAACCUGCCCUCAGCUCUGGGAUAACCCCCGGGGAAACCGGGGCUAAUACCGGAUACGACCUCCGCGGGCAUCUGCGGAGGUGGAAAGGUUUUCCGGCUGAGGAUGAGCCCGCGGCCUAUCAGCUAGUUGGUGGGGUGAUGGCCCACCAAGGCGACGACGGGUAGCCGGCCUGAGAGGGUGACCGGCCACACUGGGACUGAGACACGGCCCAGACUCCGUACGGGAGGCA